Molecule: long non-coding RNA, 1049 nt
Filed under: Gouania willdenowi (blunt-snouted clingfish)
Lineage: Eukaryota; Metazoa; Chordata; Actinopteri; Blenniiformes; Gobiesocidae
Description: lncRNA (ENSGWIG00000016190.1)
Source: RNAcentral
GCACCCCGGGCCCCAGGAGCACCCCCCGGGACCAGGACCCCCCAAGGGCAAGCCCCCGGGCCAAGCCCCCCGGGACGCAUCCCCCACCCCCGCCCGGGACCCGGCCACGGCCCAGCAGGACCGCACAGCCCCGGACAGCCCACGGCCAGCAGCCCAGGGCCCGCCGCCCGCCGCCCCCCGGACAGCGCCAGCCACGGAGCAGCGCCCCCCGCCGGCCCGCGAGCAACCGGCGAUCCCCACCGCGGGGACGGAGGCACCCCAAUGGCACACAUCAAGUGCGGGACAGCAGCCCCCAGCCAAAGAUGCCCCGGACCCACCCACCAGUCCGCAAACGGCAGGAUAGACCCACCAGGCGGCCGACAGCAACCUCCACCACCGGAACAGCUAGCGCCGCCCCCCAGUAAACAGCAUCACCCCGAGGCGCCAAGCAACCCCGCCCCAACCCCGGCGAGGACACCAGCACACCCCCAGCACACCCACCCCCCAAACCGGCGAGGCAGGCCGCCCCGGGCCCGCACACCGCGGGGCCCGCCCCCAAGGCCACCAGGAGACGAAACAAGCACCCAGCCACACCCAAGGGGAGGAAGCACCCCCGCGCCCCACCAGGCCGACACCGCCCGGAAAGACCCCGCAAGGAGAGACCCCAGCAAAGCCCCCCCGAGACCCACCGCCACGCCCGACCGCACCAUCCUGAUGUAUUUUUACUCUAAGCAGUGGCCCAGCCACCAACAGAGGAGCCAGGCCCCCACCGGAGAGGCCCAAAUAUGUGAACCAACCCACCACCCUGUUAUGGUGCCUCUCCAUUCCCCAAUGGAGAGGCACUUCCCUAUCCCCUGUGUGAAUGUGUGUUUAGUGAAUGUAUGGGGUGUAAUUAAAAGAAGGGGGAAGGAGGGGAGCGGUGCUCCCCAUCCUGCCUCUGUGGAUAUAUGUGUAUGUGGUGUAAUAGGCCGGAGGGUGUAGGUGAGUACACCCUCCGGGGGGUGGCAUGUUGAAGUGCGAUUAAAAUUGGAGGGAUUAGUAUGGUAACUAGAGGUGGGAGUGCCGCCCCC